UUCGCAAUGCCCGAAAGGGUGACGAAGCGACGCCGCGUGGGUGAGGAAGGCCUUCGGGUUGUAAAGCCCUGUCAGGAGUUAAGAAAUAUAGGUACGCUAAUAUCGUAUCUAUUUGACAAAGGCUCCAAAGGAAGCCACGGCUAACUCUGUGCCAGCAGCCGCGAUAAUACAGAGGUGGCAAGCGUUGUUCGGAAUUAUUGGGCGUAAAGAGCACGUAGGUGGAUUUGUAAGUCAGAUGUGAAAGCCUUCUGUUCAACGGGAGAAUUGCAUCUGAAACUACAAACCUUGAGUAUAGGAGGGGAGAAUGGAACUUCUGGUGGAGCGGUGAAAUGCGUAGAUAUCAGAAGGAACGCCGGCGGCGAAAGCGAUUCUCUGGCCUAUUACUGACACUCAGUGUGCGAAAGCUAGGGGAGCAAACGGGAUUAGAUACCCCGGUAGUCCUAGCCGUAAACGAUGGGCACUAAGUAGAGGGGUUUU
RNAcentral lists this ribosomal RNA (477 nucleotides) under Candidatus Scalindua brodae. RNAcentral describes it as "bacterial SSU rRNA". It matches the Rfam family "Bacterial small subunit ribosomal RNA", at positions 365 to 832 of the family's 1533-position model. The record is from RNAcentral. Lineage: Bacteria; Pseudomonadati; Planctomycetota; Candidatus Brocadiia; Candidatus Brocadiales; Candidatus Scalinduaceae.